AGUGAACGCUGGCGGUAGGCCUAACACAUGCAAGUCGAACGGCAGCACAGUAAGAGCUUGCUCUUACGGGUGGCGAGUGGCGGACGGGUGAGGAAUACAUCGGAAUCUACUUUUUCGUGGGGGAUAACGUAGGGAAACUUACGCUAAUACCGCAUACGACCUACGGGUGAAAGCAGGGGAUCUUCGGACCUUGCGCGAUUGAAUGAGCCGAUGUCGUAUUAGCUAGUUGGCGGGGUGAAGGCCCACCAAGGCGACGAUCCGUAGCUGGGCUGAGAGGAUGAUCAGCCACACUGGAAGUGAGAAACGGUCCAGACUCCUACGGGAGGAAGCAGUGGGGAAUAUUGGACAAUGGGCGCAAGCCUGAUCCAGCCAAACCGCGUGGGUGAAGAAGGCCUUCGGGUUGUAAAGCCCUUUUGUUGGGAAAGAAAAGCAGAAGGUUAAUACCCCGCUGUUCUGACGGUACCCAAAGAAUAAGCACCGGCUAACUUCGUG
This 492-nucleotide ribosomal RNA is filed under the name uncultured bacterium. Its description in RNAcentral is "partial 16S ribosomal RNA". It matches the Rfam family "Bacterial small subunit ribosomal RNA", at positions 29 to 507 of the family's 1533-position model. The record is from RNAcentral.